Molecule: long non-coding RNA, 383 nt
Organism: Amphimedon queenslandica
Lineage: Eukaryota; Metazoa; Porifera; Demospongiae; Haplosclerida; Niphatidae
Exons: 3
Source: RefSeq, a predicted model, not a curated record
UUGUUACUGAUUCGUUCAUACUACUGAAGUACUGGAGAGAUGGGGAACACACAGAGUAACUUUAAGAAGCAAACUAAUGAAUCUGAUAAAGACAAGGACAAAUUAUUGGUAAGUCAAAAUGCCGGUGUACCGUUAUUGGACACGCUGCGUAGGCGAGUAUUAAGUACUUUGUAUGAUCAUAAAGUUUAAUUAAAUUUUUGAAAAAUAUUCUUUUAAUUAAAAAACUAAGAGGUCUUUCUCCAUAGCUACUUCAAGCCUUCAUUUUCAGGUAAAAAUGUUUAAAGAGCAGCGCUACUAGAAGAAGCUUGCAAAGUGGAAAUAUGGCAGGCUAGCAGUAUUGUGCCAUAUUACUUGUCAUAAGUCACUUGCAAGAAGAAAAAAAA